GGGCGAGUAGCUCAGCUGGUAGAGCAGAUCCCUCUUAAGGAUAAGGUCGCGGGUUCGAUCCCCGCCUCGCCCACCA
This 76-nucleotide transfer RNA is filed under the name Candidatus Altimarinota bacterium. Its description in RNAcentral is "tRNA-Lys". It matches the Rfam family "tRNA". From Rfam's summary of the family: Transfer RNA (tRNA) molecules are approximately 80 nucleotides in length. Their secondary structure includes four short double-helical elements and three loops (D, anti-codon, and T loops). Further hydrogen bonds mediate the characteristic L-shaped molecular structure. tRNAs have two regions of fundamental functional importance: the anti-codon, which is responsible for specific mRNA codon recognition, and the 3' end, to which the tRNAs corresponding amino acid is attached (by aminoacyl-tRNA synthetases). tRNAs cope with the degeneracy of the genetic code in two manners: having more than one tRNA (with a specific anti-codon) for a particular amino acid; and 'wobble' base-pairing, i.e. permitting non-standard base-pairing at the 3rd anti-codon position. The record is from RNAcentral. Lineage: Bacteria; Candidatus Altimarinota.